Molecule: ribosomal RNA, 226 nt
Filed under: Bacillota bacterium
Lineage: Bacteria; Bacillati; Bacillota
Description: partial 16S ribosomal RNA
Rfam family: Bacterial small subunit ribosomal RNA
Source: RNAcentral
UAACAGGAGAGUUUGAUCCUGGCUCAGGACGAACGCUGGCGGCGUGCCUAACACAUGCAAGUCGAACGGGCCUAGAAGUUGGAGGUAAAACUUCCAACCUCUAGGCAAGUGGCGGACGGGUGAGUAACGCGUGGGCAAUCUACCCAUAAAGCGGGGAUAACACCGGGAAACCGGUGCUAAUACCCGAUAAACUCCUGGUAGGGCAUCCUAUUAGGAGGAAAGGCGG